RNA transcript from Musa acuminata AAA Group (dessert banana), 1977 nucleotides. RefSeq lists it as uncharacterized. The transcript is spliced from 8 exons. NCBI's taxonomy places the organism in Eukaryota, Viridiplantae, Streptophyta, Magnoliopsida, Zingiberales, Musaceae. The record is from RefSeq and is a predicted model, not a curated record.
UCCCUACCUUACCAGACUCCGUUGCGAUGGAAGGAGAUGGAGCAGCAGCAGAAAAAGCACCGGCGGCAGACGCCGUCGCCACGAGCCAAGAGGAACCAACUCCGUCUUCCUCUUCCUCCACCAAGAGCCCUUUCGACCCCUGCAUCUCGGCAGCGGCGCCGGCGCCGGCGGCGACGUCACCCGGCGAGAUCCUCCGAGCGCUGCAAGUGGUGGAGAGGGAUUCCGUCGCCAUCGCCGAGAGCUACGCCUCCCUCUUCUCCUCUCUCCGCAUCGCUCUCUCCGAGGUCACUAGUACUUCACUUGAAAACAUGCAAUGCUUCAAUGAUGUCGUUGGCCGCCUACAAGAAUCUGCUCUUGAUGCCGCAACAAAGGGAAAUCGGUACAUAAAUUCCUGCCUAAGAUUGAAUGAGGAAAUGAAAAGCUUGGAAAGUCUGGUUCUGCAGUUAAAGAUAUUAAGGAAGAACGUGGACAAUCUGGAUGUGGCUGUAAACCGAGUACUCCGACUUCCCUGAGUCGGCACCAUCUGCGAGCAUUUGAAGAUGAGUUUUAUAGAAGCCUGAAAGAUGCUGUGAUGGAAGUACAUAAGAAGGAUAUAAUGAAUUGCAGCUCCUGAAACCAAACGAGUGCUCCUGGCGCUUCCUCGGCUAAGAUCGUUGUUCAAGUACAUCGACUUAGGACUGGACAAAUCUCCACUCGACCACCAAUAGUGCCAGCCUGAGCCAGAGAGGACACUGCAGGGAGAUCUCCUCUGGCGACACAAGUUGACGACGUUUCAUCUCAGUCAGUGCAUGCACUUCAUCGUCCCGGCUGUGCAUCAGGGUCGUGUAUUGACCGGUAGGUAGAUAGAUAGCAGCCUGCUUGUGAGGUGUAGGAUCCAAGAAAACAAACAAAGCAAUACAAGUUGCAAAAGUCCAAAUAAAAAAGAGACAGCACUAAAUUAUAUAUCACCUACUGAUAAGACACCCAUGAAAAGGACAUCUAAAGAUCACCAUCAUUGAUAUUGCUACAAAGGAACAAUAGGUCAUCACCCACCACUUUGAAACGACCAACCAUUCUCAUGCUAUGCCAUUCCCUUUCUACACCACUGCUACUUUAUCCAUCACAUGGCAGAACACUUGGAAUGACAUUUUCAAUAUGACAUGGCCACGUGAAGGGGGCAUGGAUUAUAGGCAUUGCUGACAACUUAAUUCUCAGGAAUCUUAACCUACAAAUUGUGGUCCCUCGUAAGCUAAUUAUGCAUACUACGUGGAGUCAUUACCUCUAGCAGUAUUCUUCGGCCAUUUGUCUCUCUGUGAUUGGCCUUUCGAACAUAGUUUACUUGGAUUGGCGUGACAAUAAUGCUGCAGCGUAAUGGAACCGAAAGGCCCCUUCAAUGAUCUGACUUGGAUAUGGACCAUACGGCAAUAAUGCUGUUCCCUGUUGUGGGGCUAUACAAAGGACUGUGAGGACGUUCACCAGUGACAGUGCACUGCCAUUCUCCUGUCUCAGUAAAAUUGUUGCACACAGGUAGAAUGUAACCUGGCUUUUAGCUCGUCUUGUUUUCUGAUACAAGAUUCUCUAGGGGAUUGUCUGCAUGUAGCCGCUCCAUCGUUACAGUUGUUGCAGGUUCAAACACAACGUAGUUUUCUUGAUGUCUGCAAGUGAAAGUGACAUGGUAGCUUUGACCACUGGACCGCUUCACUGAACUUUCAUAUUGGAGGAGAUACAAGUGUCGUUUAAGAGGGUUUAGGAAUGGAGUCCAUAGUGCAAGUUGAAGUUUCGUACUGGUAGAACUGGACCGCCAAUACAUGUGAAGAACUGUUGCAUUAAAGGGCUGCUGAGGGAAGAUAAAAGAGACGUACAAGUGACUACGUUACGACUCCAUCGCAUGUGAUUGAUUUGAGUCAGUGGUCCUUCUGCGGUACCAUUGUACGUACUGAUCAUUUGUUGUUUGACAUGCUUUACAAACAUUUUUGAUUCAUGUACUGCAACUUAAUG